UCCAGAACUAAAACGCCAAUCUCUCCAGUAACGUCUCAACCUUUCGUUAAUCCGUUCUUUAACUCCGAGCUUUUUGCAUGAUUAGCCCCACUUCUCCCACUGAGAAGCAUUCAAUCGACCUCAUCACAUUCCAGAGUAACCGACUGAAGCAACGAGUACAAAUACACCAUCUUCCAGCGAUGAACAGCACAACUCACCUCUACGAUGAUCCACAGAUCAAUUAGCGUCCACCGCGUUGGAAACUUUCCAAAGCCUCCUCAGAGAGGGAUGUAGUUAUGAGCUGAGUUCAUUUUAUGUGACAAAAAGCAAUCAGUACUCUCAGAGAGGAAGCCAAAUAAUCAUGGCAAGCUCAAGCCCGGCACUUACGAGGAUUAGUUAGACAGACUUAGCUGGAGCUAUUUUUGCUUCCCUCCUUCAGUCAAUAGGUGGGUACAUGUCUGUGAACAUGUUUAUUAAAGCUUAUGAUCGAGAGAUUAAAGCCGGUGCAUGUCUAAGGAUUACCAAGCGCAGGGGUUUGGAGUAUUGCUAAACUCCAGUGGAACAUGCAUAGUACAUGGUGGUUUCACCUUGAAGUAUUCGCUCUUAUCUCUCAGUUUCCUUAGCCAGUUAGUACAAAUGACUAUCAUCGUGGUCAUAGACAUAUGUAGUGAAGCUAAGCCAACGCUCUACGUGUAUUGGGUAGAAGAUGCCGCGGCGGAGAUAGAGCUUACCGGGUCUGGAAUAAAAUUCCCGAGAAAAACUAUUUAGGACAAGCUUUGGAAGAACUCAGAUGCUGCACGCGAUGUCUUACUCCGGUGGGAGAUUGCUGGCUACCCUGAAGUUGCAGUCACAGUUGGAAGCUCCGAACCCUUAAAGUAUCUUGCAAAAAUCUCUAUCUAUGGAAACAACAACCCGGCUGUUUUGUGCUACUUAGUGAUGCAGGUCAUGAGUUGACUGGAAAGCAUGCCAUGGAAUUAGUUGACAACUACUUUCAGGUUAGUUGGCUUCAGAUUUUACUUGGACCUAGAGUUAUUUAUACUCGCUUUUUUAAAACAAUGGUAGUCUAAUGAAAACAUUAGUGCGGACAAUGAGAUGCCUGCUCCCCAAGCUUUAAUCUACACCAUUGGUCAAACACAUACGUUCAUGGUCAGAGUAUCUGAGUACAACUUGACAGGGAAGACUAAGUCUAUAACUGUUACAAAGGUGCUUUCUUCAUCGGUUCUGCCACCUAUAGCAGCCCCAGUUGAGAGUGAUGUGUGUGCAUCUUCGAAAGGUUGUGGAGACCUUGCUGAUGAGGGAAAUGAAAGCACCAGUAACACCCACGUAUCACAGAAAGCUAAUCGUGCUGCUGGAUAAUAGAGCUUUCGACUCAUCCCAGUGCUAGCAUGCGUUGGAGUGUUACUCUUUUGUUUUUUUUUUAAGUUUGUGCUUCGACUAAGUUUUUCUUUAUUUGGUUUUCAACCAUCGUUGUUGCUAUGGCUUAAUAUUUGAACACAGUUUACUUAUUUGUUAGCCUUUAUUUUUUUUUAAGAGCAAAGAUUUCGAGGUUCCUAAGCA
This is a long non-coding RNA of Raphanus sativus (radish), 1536 nucleotides long. RefSeq lists it as uncharacterized. The record is from RefSeq and is a predicted model, not a curated record. The transcript is spliced from 9 exons. Lineage: Eukaryota; Viridiplantae; Streptophyta; Magnoliopsida; Brassicales; Brassicaceae.